This 510-nucleotide ribosomal RNA is filed under the name Triticum aestivum (bread wheat). Its description in RNAcentral is "partial small subunit ribosomal RNA". The record is from RNAcentral. Lineage: Eukaryota; Viridiplantae; Streptophyta; Magnoliopsida; Poales; Poaceae.
AUGCAUGAGUUAACUAAGGAAAACAUUGAGCGUAUGAAUGCUAAAUAUAAACUUGCUGGAGAUAAGGGUAGAAAACAUGUUGUGUUUGCACCUGGAGAUCUUGUUUGGUUACAUUUGCGUAAGGAUAGAUUUCCUGAUUUGCGCAAAUCAAAGCUAAUGCCACGUGCUGAUGGUCCCUUUAAGGUGUUAGAGAAAAUAAAUGAUAAUGCAUAUAAACUUGAGCUGCCUGCAGAUUUUGGGGUUAGUCCCACUUUUAACAUUGCAGAUUUGAAGCCUUAUUUGGGUGAGGAAGAUGAACUUCCGUCGAGGACGACUUCAUUUCAAGAAGGGGAGGAUGAUGAGGACAUCAAUACAAUUGUUACACCCACAGCCCCUGCUGCUAUACAUACUGGACCAAUUACUAGAGCUCGUGCACGCCAACUAAAUUACCAGGAAACAGACCCUCGUGGUCAGGUUGAUCGUGCUCCGGCGUGGUCAAUAACCUCUCGGAGUUGGUUUAGCGAUUGCUAA